RNAcentral lists this ribosomal RNA (453 nucleotides) under uncultured bacterium. RNAcentral's name for it is "bacterial SSU rRNA". It matches the Rfam family "Bacterial small subunit ribosomal RNA", at positions 8 to 507 of the family's 1533-position model. The record is from RNAcentral.
AGAGUUUGAUCAUGGCUCAGAACGAACGCUGGCGGCAUGCCUAACACAUGCAAGUCGAACGAGACCUUCGGGUCUAGUGGCGCACGGGUGCGUAACGCGUGGGAACCUGCCUUUAGGUUCGGAAUAACUCAGAGAAAUUUGAGCUAACACCGGAUAAUGUCUUCGGACCAAAGAUUUAUCGCCUUUAGAUGGGCCCGCGUAAGAUUAGCUAGUUGGUGGGGUAAAGGCCUACCAAGGCGACGAUCUUUAGCUGGUCUGAGAGGAUGAUCAGCCACACUGGGACUGAGACACGGCCCAGACUCCUACGGGAGGCAGCAGUGGGGAAUAUUGGACAAUGGGCGAAAGCCUGAUCCAGCAAUGCCGCGUGAGUGAUGAAGGCCUUAGGGUUGUAAAGCUCUUUUACCCGAGAUGAUAAUGACAGUAUCGGGAGAAUAAGCUCCGGCUAACUCCGUG